GAUGAACGCUGGCGGCGUGCUUAACACAUGCAAGUCGAGCGGACCUUCGGGUUAGCGGCGAACGGGUGAGUAACACGUGGGUAACCUGCCCUUGACGUUGGGAUAAGCCUGGGAAACUGGGUCUAAUACCGGAUAUGAGCUUCAAUCGCAUGGUGGGGGUUGGAAAGUUCCGGCGGUCAGGGAUGGGCCCGCGGCCUAUCAGCUUGUUGGUGGGGUGAUGGCCUACCAAGGCGACGACGGGUAGCCGGCCUGAGAGGGUGGACGGCCACACUGGGACUGAGACACGGCCCAGACUCCUACGGGAGGCAGCAGUGGGGAAUCUUGCACAAUGGGCGAAAGCCUGAUGCAGCGACGCCGCGUGCGGGAUGACGGCCUUCGGGUUGUAAACCGCUUUCAGCAGGGACGAAGCGGGAGUGACGGUACCUGCAGAAGAAGCCCCGGCCAACUACGUGCCAGCCGCCGCCGUAAUAC
This 471-nucleotide ribosomal RNA is filed under the name uncultured bacterium. RNAcentral describes it as "bacterial SSU rRNA". It matches the Rfam family "Bacterial small subunit ribosomal RNA", at positions 28 to 526 of the family's 1533-position model. The record is from RNAcentral.